CACUGCCCUAAUUCCAGUAGCCUGGAUACAAUAUAAGGGACGCAGAGAGGUUUGCCUUGUCCCUUGUUGCUUUGUUACCUUUUGACUGCCAUGAACUGUUUUUCCUCUGUGAUGCCCUCUGCUAUGCCACCCUACCUUGGAGCCAGGAUCUGAUGCACCUCUGGUUUUGUUCCAAGUGGAAGAGAGCUGAAUGGCUCACGGCCUGUGCCAGAGAGCUCUGUGAUCACUCUUCUCUGCAGGCCCGGACCUCAUAGACUGAACUAUGAACAGCCACUCAACUGGAAAACCUAAAUGCAAUGGGAGGAAUUGGACACCAGGCAGGGGCCAACUGGUGACACUUGACCACCAAAGACAAGGUAAGAGGUGAAGGCACCUGAGAUCAGGGAGGCAGAGGUGCUGGGACUGGAGACAGCGCAGGGCAGAGGAGAUCUGUGAGGAGCGCGUGGACAGAGGGGAACCAGGAAUUUCUGGGUGAAGUCAAAGCCCAGCGAAAGUGGAGACCACGAAUCCAUGGUGGGACCAGUCACAUCAAUCUGCCCAGUAGGAUUUUCCUUCAGAGGUACUUGAGAGCCCUUGAGAUAUGCAAGCUCCCUCAAGAGCGAGUGAUCCAAGACAGAGCAAAUCCUGCAUCAUCAGGCUCACCGCACCAGAAGCUGGUCACUGAGGCUUCAUCUUUUUUGAGAGGAGAGCAUCAGAUGGUUUGUAAACAUAUUUUAUUCUUUCUUUUUUUUUUCUUUCUGGUAAUGGGGGUGGAACUCAGGACUUUGUGUUUGCCAGGCAGGUGCAGUGCCACUGAGCUAAAUCCCCAGCCCUUGAAAACAUAUUUUAAAGCCAACACACACAUACAGAAAUGACGAAAAAAGUUUAGCAUGGCUAGAAUUAGAGUGAAAGGAGGUGAGGGUGACUGAAGAGAAGCUGGUGAGUGAUAACUCUGGGAAAAUUAGCAGGAGCUAGAUCACUUAUUGACCUGUUAAUUUUAGUAAUUUGGUUUCUAUUUAAGGGCAAAGAGAUUUUUUUUUUCUUUUUUCUUUUUUUGGUCUGUUGAGAC
RNAcentral lists this long non-coding RNA (1048 nucleotides) under Heterocephalus glaber (naked mole-rat). RNAcentral describes it as "lncRNA (ENSHGLG00100035852.1)". Lineage: Eukaryota; Metazoa; Chordata; Mammalia; Rodentia; Bathyergidae. The record is from RNAcentral.